Non-coding RNA from Rattus norvegicus (Norway rat), 69 nucleotides. NCBI's taxonomy places the organism in Eukaryota, Metazoa, Chordata, Mammalia, Rodentia, Muridae. The record is from Rfam.
GGGGAUUUAGCUCAGCGGUAGAGCACUUGCCUAGCAAGCGCAAGGCCCUGGGUUCGAUCCCCAGCUCUG